GAUAGUGUGGCCGAGUGGUCUAUGGCGCUGGUUUUAGGCACCAGUCUUUUCGGAGGCAAGGGUUCGAAUCCCUUCACUGUCA
RNAcentral lists this transfer RNA (82 nucleotides) under Daphnia pulicaria. RNAcentral describes it as "tRNA-Leu". It matches the Rfam family "tRNA". From Rfam's summary of the family: Transfer RNA (tRNA) molecules are approximately 80 nucleotides in length. Their secondary structure includes four short double-helical elements and three loops (D, anti-codon, and T loops). RNAcentral also lists the same sequence under 1 other name. The record is from RNAcentral. Lineage: Eukaryota; Metazoa; Arthropoda; Branchiopoda; Diplostraca; Daphniidae.